GUCAAACUGGUCUCUACGGAUAUCCUCAUCUGAAUUAGCAUGAGCUAACAAUGCAUCCCAAACAUAUCCAGAUGUAGGAUCUACAAUCAUUACAUGUACAAAAAAGUUGGCCAAUUUAAUCACUGUUAUAUCAAAAUUGGAUCUCCAAGCAAAACAUAAGCCACUAGCUAUUCCAACUGGAUCUACUGUGAUUAGAUCAUAAAACCCACACUUAUGAAGCUUUUGCUAUACCACUUGUGUCUUGUUUUUUAUUUUCAUUAAGAAGACAAAAUUUGGGGAAUGGGAAGAACAUAUCCCUUUCAAGUUGUGGAUUGUCAGGGGUUCCCCACACCCUGACAAUU
RNAcentral lists this unclassified non-coding RNA (341 nucleotides) under Hevea brasiliensis (rubber tree). The record is from RNAcentral. Lineage: Eukaryota; Viridiplantae; Streptophyta; Magnoliopsida; Malpighiales; Euphorbiaceae.